Non-coding RNA from Chlorocebus sabaeus (green monkey), 1273 nucleotides. NCBI's taxonomy places the organism in Eukaryota, Metazoa, Chordata, Mammalia, Primates, Cercopithecidae. The record is from RefSeq and is a predicted model, not a curated record.
UGAUCUGCUAACACCUGUAAUGACUACUGUAUUCAUUAAGAACAUGAUUACAGGGACAUCUCAGGUUGACUGUGCUGUCCUGAUUGGUGCUGCUGGUGUUGGUGAAUUUGAAGCUGGUAUCUCCAAGAAUGGGCAGACCAGUAAGCAUGCCCUCCUGGCUUACACACUGGGUGUGAAACAGCUAAUUGUUGGUGUUAACAAAAUGGAUUCCACUGAGCCACCCUACAGCCAGAAGAGAUACGAGGAAAUCAUUAAGGAAGUCAGCACUUACAUUAAGAAAAUUGGCUACAACCCCGACACAGUAGCAUUUCUGCCAAUUUCGGGUCGGAAUGAUGACAACAUGCUGGAGCCAAGUGCUAAUGUGCCUUGGUUCAAGGGAUGGAAAGUCACCUGUACAGAUGGCAAUGCCAGUGGAACCACACUGCUUGAGGCUCUGGACUACAUCCUACCACCAUCUCGUCCAACUGACAAGCCCUUGUGCCUGCCUCUCCAGGAUGUCCACAAAAUUGGUGGUAUUGGUACUGUGCCUGUUGGUCAAGUGAAGACUGGUGUUCUCAAACCCGGUAUGGUAGUCACCUUUGUUGCAGUCGAUAUUACAACUGAAAUAAAGUCUGUUGAAAGGCACCAGGAAGCUUUGAGUGAAAUAAAGCUUUGAGUGAAAUGAAAUAAAGCUUUAUUCCUGGGAACAAUGUGGGCUUCCAUGUCAAGAAUGUGUCUGUCAAGGAUGUUCGUUCUGGCAACAUUGCUGGUGACAGCAAAAAUGGCCCACCAAUGAAAGCAGCCGGCAUCACUGCUCAGGUGAUUAUCCUGAACCAUCCAGGGCAAAUCAGUGCUGGCUAUGCCCCUGUACUGGAUUGCCGCAUGGCUCACAUUGCAUGCAAGUUUGCUGAGCUGAAGGAAAAGACUGAUCACCUUUCUGGUAAGCAGCUGGAAGAUGGCUCUAAAUUCUUGAAGUCUGGUGAUGCUGCCAUCAUUGAUAUGGUUCCUGGCAACCUCGUGUGUAUUAAGAGCUUCUCAGACUAUCCUCCUCUGGGUCACUUUGCUGUUUGUGAUGUGAGACAGACAGUUGGUGUGGGUGUCAUCAAAGCAGUGAACCAGAAGGCUGCUGGAGCUGGCAAGGUCACCAAGUCUGCCCAGAAAGCUCAGAAGGCUAAAUGAAUAUUAUCCCUAAUACCUGACACCCCAGUCUUAAUCAGUGGUGGAAGAAGAGUCUCUGAAUUCUUUGUUUCAAUUGGCCAUUUAAGUUUAAUAGUAAAAGACUGAUUAAUGAUAA